Molecule: ribosomal RNA, 226 nt
Filed under: uncultured bacterium
Lineage: Bacteria
Description: partial 16S ribosomal RNA
Rfam family: Bacterial small subunit ribosomal RNA
Source: RNAcentral
UACGUAGGGUCGAGCGUUUGAUCGGAAUUACUGGGCGUAAAGCGUGCGCAGGCGGUCCGUUAAGACAGAUGUGAAAUCCCCGGGCUUAACCUGGGAACUGCAUUUGUGACUGGCGGACUCGAGUAUGGCAGAGGGGGUAGAAUUCCACGUGUAGCAGUGAAAUGCGUAGAGAUGUGGAGGAAUACCGAUGGCGAAGGCAGCCCCUGGGCCCAAUACUGACGCUCAU